ACUCCUACGGGAGGCAGCAGUGGGGAAUUUUGGACAAUGGGCGAAAGCCUGAUCCAGCAAUGCCGCGUGAGUGAAGAAGGCCUUCGGGUUGUAAAGCUCUUUUGUCAGGGAAGAAACGGUGAAAGCUAAUAUCUUUUGCUAAUGACGGUACCUGAAGAAUAAGCACCGGCUAACUACGUGCCAGCAGCCGCGGUAAUACGUAGGGUGCAAGCGUUAAUCGGAAUUACUGGGCGUAAAGCGUGCGCAGGCGGUUUUGUAAGUCUGAUGUGAAAUCCCCGGGCUCAACCUGGGAAUUGCAUUGGAGACUGCAAGGCUAGAAUCUGGCAGAGGGGGGUAGAAUUCCACGUGUAGCAGUGAAAUGCGUAGAUAUGUGGAGGAACACCGAUGGCGAAGGCAGCCCCCUGGGUCAAGAUUGACGCUCAUGCACGAAAGCGUGGGGAGCAAACAGGAUUAGAUACCCCGGUAGUCCCAUGAU
Molecule: ribosomal RNA, 475 nt
Filed under: uncultured organism
Description: partial 16S ribosomal RNA
Rfam family: Bacterial small subunit ribosomal RNA
Source: RNAcentral